ACCCGCUGAAUUUAAGCAUAUAAGUAAGUGGUGGAAAUUAAACCAAAUGGGAUUCUGUUAGUAAUUGCGAAUGAACAUAGACAUGCUUAGCUUGAUAAAUGGAGCCUCUGGCUUUGAAUUGUGUUUGUGAACAUGUAUUACCAACAGAGGUGUGGGUGUUAGCGUAUUGGAAGAAAGUGUCAAUGAAGGUGAGAGUCCUUGUUGUCAUGUGCAGCCCUCUGUGCACGGAGUAUGUUUGGUGAGUCACACUCCUUGGCAUUGGAAUGCAAAUUGGGUGGUAAGUUUCAUGCACAGGUAAAUACAUGAUUGAGACUGAUAGCGCACAAGUACCAUGAGGGAAAUAUGAAAAGGACUUUGAAAAGAGAGUUAAAUGAGUUUGCACUUGCUGAACAGAAAGUAAACAGAUUUGAUUAUACUGCGUGAGAUUGUGGUGUUUGCUUUGCAUGUCGAUGUGAAUUGCAAAUGCAAUGUUUGUUGCUGUGUGUGCUAGUUAUUUGUGCAUGUGCUGACCAUUGCACAUGAAUGGUAAUAUCUCUGCGGGGGGUGAUUGUAUGUGCAUGCAUGCAUGUGUGCUCAGGCAUGUGUUUGGUGAUGGUGUGUUGGUAUGUGUGUGUGUGUUCUGUGCUGGGUGUUGUUCGCUGUAUGGGCCCACAAGCUUUAACACUGACUUGCUGGUAAUAUGAUUCUGCUUGACCCGUCUUGAAACACGGACCAAGG
RNAcentral lists this ribosomal RNA (717 nucleotides) under Alexandrium fraterculus. Its description in RNAcentral is "partial large subunit ribosomal RNA". It matches the Rfam family "Eukaryotic large subunit ribosomal RNA", at positions 23 to 671 of the family's 3401-position model. Lineage: Eukaryota; Dinophyceae; Gonyaulacales; Pyrocystaceae. The record is from RNAcentral.